RNAcentral lists this long non-coding RNA (450 nucleotides) under Salvia miltiorrhiza (redroot sage). RNAcentral's name for it is "long non-coding RNA (SMIL_LNC003264)". The record is from RNAcentral. Lineage: Eukaryota; Viridiplantae; Streptophyta; Magnoliopsida; Lamiales; Lamiaceae.
GCAUCGUACUAUUGACGGGAGGCUCCCCCAACUAGACGCUGUAACACUGGCAUAUUGGCAUCGCGCCGCGAGAGAGGCCUCUCUCAGCGGACACGGGCAUCGCGCCGUGAGGAAGGCCCUCCUCAGCGGACACGGCAUCGUACUGUUGAGGGAGGCCUCCCCCAACAGACGCAAGCAUCAAACAUAAGCAUAAACUUAUCAGCGUAAAGCAUUCAAGCGUAAAUAAGCGUAAUCAUUUAACGUGCAUCAUAAUAAAGCUUAACUCAUUUAAGCGUAAUAAAGCAUACCAUACUUGAAGAUCCAAUUUGCAUUUUAAAGCAUAACAUUUGCAUAGCAUUUUAUUUACGCGUAAGGAAUUGCCCACCUCAAUUGUUCUUAAAGCUGGCGUGGAGUCGUUUCUUCUUCGGCUUCACUUUCUGUCGCCCGGACCUUCAUUGAUGAAGAGUCGAU